AUACGUAGGGUGCGAGCGUUGUCCGGAAUUACUGGGCGUAAAGAGCUCGUAGGUGGUUUGUCGCGUCGUCUGUGAAAUUCCGGGGCUUAACUCCGGGCGUGCAGGCGAUACGGGCAUAACUUGAGUACUGUAGGGGAGACUGGAAUUCCUGGUGUAGCGGUGAAAUGCGCAGAUAUCAGGAGGAACACCGGUGGCGAAGGCGGGUCUCUGGGCAGUAACUGACGCUGAGGAGCGAAAGCAUGGGUAGCGAACAGGAUUAGAUACCCUGGUAGUCCAUGCCGUAAACGGUGGGCGCUAGGUGUAGGGGUCUUCCGCGACUUCUGUGCCGUAGCUAACGCAUUAAGCGCCCCGCCUGGGGAGUACGGCCGCAAGGCUAAAACUCAAAUGAAUUGACGGGG
RNAcentral lists this ribosomal RNA (398 nucleotides) under uncultured bacterium. RNAcentral describes it as "partial 16S ribosomal RNA". It matches the Rfam family "Bacterial small subunit ribosomal RNA", at positions 523 to 918 of the family's 1533-position model. The record is from RNAcentral.